This 435-nucleotide ribosomal RNA is filed under the name uncultured bacterium. Its description in RNAcentral is "bacterial SSU rRNA". It matches the Rfam family "Bacterial small subunit ribosomal RNA", at positions 355 to 786 of the family's 1533-position model. The record is from RNAcentral.
UGAGGAAUAUUGGUCAAUGGGCGGGAGCCUGAACCAGCCAAGCCGCGUGAGGGAAGAAGGCCCUAUGGGUCGUAAACCUCUUUUGUCAGGGAACAAAAGCGAGUAUGUAUACUGGUCUGAGUGUACCUGAAGAAAAAGCAUCGGCUAACUCCGUGCCAGCAGCCGCGGUAAUACGGAGGAUGCGAGCGUUAUCCGGAUUUAUUGGGUUUAAAGGGUGCGUAGGCGGCGGUGCAAGUCAGCGGUAAAAGCCCGGGGGCUCAACCCCGGCGAGCCGUUGAAACUGCAGUGCUAGAGAAGGCGAGAGGUACGCGGAAUGCGCAGUGUAGCGGUGAAAUGCUUAGAUAUUGCGCAGAACUCCGAUUGCGAAGGCAGCGUACUGGCGCCUGACUGACGCUGAGGCACGAAAGCGUGGGGGAUCGAACAGGAUUAGAUACC